Molecule: long non-coding RNA, 1300 nt
Organism: Capsicum annuum
Lineage: Eukaryota; Viridiplantae; Streptophyta; Magnoliopsida; Solanales; Solanaceae
Exons: 5
Source: RefSeq, a predicted model, not a curated record
CUUUUUCCUGUGAUCCUUUAUCUAUCACUCUCAGAUUGAUUUAAAUUACGAUUCAGGAGUAGAACACAUGAAAAGUUAAUUGAUGUUAUUAUUGGGUGUGGAUAAUGCACCUCUAGUUAUAAGCUCUCAGAAAAGUUAUAUGUUGAUUUUUAAAAGGAACAAUUUAGAAGUUUCGUCUGUUGGUCUGACUUAGGAUGUCAAUUUAAAGAUGGCAACGGGGAGUACUAACAGGGAAAAUUCUUGUCGUCUUUCAUUGACCUGGUUGUGGUUUUUAGCUCAACAUUUUUAUUUUCCUUCAGCAUCUUGUUUAUUAUGUCUUCCUUCUUGGGGUUCGUGAUGUGAUAUUUCCUCUUCAUUGUGGGAUAUAAGUUCCCCUUUUGCAAUUGGAUCAAUUGGUUUAGUGGAAUCUUUUGGGUACUCAAGCAUGAGUUCAGGUGUUGAAAAGUUCAUAAAAUGCUGUGAUUAUUUCUCUUCUACUUAAUAAUUGUAGAUAUGGUUGGUGAAGGUAUGGAAUUUAGCCCGCUCGAUCACAUUUGGAGUUCUUUUUGGGGUCUGUCAUGGAAAAUGAUUUGUGAUUAUUUCUGUUUUGCUUGGUAGCUACAGACGUGAUUGGUGAAGCUAAUGAAUUUUGACACGGCUUGAUUGCAUUUGAGUUUCUUUUUCUGUCAGGUACAUUUAGUUAAUAUUUUCUCUUGUUAUGAUUUGGGAAAGUGAUGCGUUCUGGAAAUUCGAGCAAUGCACUGGAGCAGUGGUUUGGACAUGCUACUUCAUCUACCAAUCUUACUAUUGCUCUCCUACGGUGGUUCUUAGCCAGGUGCAAAUUUCUUGCUAUAAUGGAACCUUUCAAUGGAAUAACUCUGCUCCCAUUAUGCUCAUACCUUGUCAGCUUCUAGGAAAGGAGGUAUGGGUUACCCAAUUUGCGGUCUUCCAGUGAGGUGGUCUAGCUUGCCCGUUUGGAAGGGGAGAUUCAAUCAUGUGAUUAUCUGCUGACGAUCAUAUGGUACCCUACUACCAUCUCCAGCAGCAGCAGGAACAUCAAUUGCGGAGAAUGUAGUUGUCAUGGUAUCAAUGUGAGUACCCUAUUACCAUCUUCAGCGGCAACAACAAAUGAACUAAAAUUAUUUAUAAAAUUAUAUAUUACAUGAUUUGUCUUACACGUGCGUAGCUCGUGUCAAAAAACUAGUUUUAAAUAACAUAUACGUGAAUAUAUUUUUUUCUAAUUAAAAUAAAUUUUUUCUGCUAUAUAGUUAUACACACCCCAAUAUAUAUAUAUAUAUAUAUAUAUAUAUAUAUAUAUAUU